Molecule: long non-coding RNA, 484 nt
Organism: Zingiber officinale
Lineage: Eukaryota; Viridiplantae; Streptophyta; Magnoliopsida; Zingiberales; Zingiberaceae
Exons: 3
Source: RefSeq, a predicted model, not a curated record
CCUCCUUCCUUCUUCCCCGAGUGCACCAAAGCCGUGCCGACGUUUCUUCUCCUCUCCUCUGCCGCCACCACAGCGACGCCGUGCUCUAAUUGGGCUGUGCCGCCGCCGAGCCGAGCAUCUCCACCGACGCACGAGCAGUGCCGGCGACCCUUCCUCUGCCCUAGACAAACUCCAGUGCCGGCGCUGUCAUCUGUGCCCUAGCGUCUCCGCCGACGCCAAGCAUUAUCUCUCCGGGUUGUGGACAGAGGCAAAGCAAUCCGAGACUAGCCUCUUGGUGAUCCCAAUCUGCUGCCCGACACCAUUGUCUUUCACUCUCCAUUCCUCCGGCAGCCGGUUUCACUACCACCAGCAGUAGAUUUUGUAUUGUACUACCAUCACUGAAGAAGAGGAAGUGGAAACAGGGAGGAAGCAAUUGUAAAACCUCUGUAGCCGGAUUGUACCCUUGACCACCUACUUGAGUUUGGGACCUUGACGCGAGACGAGU